GCUGGCGGCAUGCCUAACACAUGCAAGUCGAACGAGACCUUCGGGUCUAGUGGCGCACGGGUGCGUAACGCGUGGGAAUCUGCCCUUCGGUUCGGAAUAACAGUUAGAAAUGACUGCUAAUACCGGAUGAUGACUUCGGUCCAAAGAUUUAUCGCCGAGGGAUGAGCCCGCGUAGGAUUAGCUAGUUGGUGAGGUAAAGGCUCACCAAGGCGACGAUCCUUAGCUGGUCUGAGAGGAUGAUCAGCCACACUGGGACUGAGACACGGCCCAGACUCCUACGGGAGGCAGCAGUGGGGAAUAUUGGACAAUGGGCGAAAGCCUGAUCCAGCAAUGCCGCGUGAGUGAUGAAGGCCCUAGGGUUGUAAAGCUCUUUUACCCGGGAUGAUAAUGACAGUACCGGGAGAAUAAGCCCCGGCUAACUCCGUGCCAGCAGCCGCGGUAAUACGGAGGGGGCUAGCGUUGUUCGGAAUUACUGGGCGUAAAGCGCACGUAGGCGGCUUUGCAAGUCAGAGGUGAAAGCCCGGGGCUCAACCCCGGAAUUGCCUUUGAGACUGCAUCGCUAGAAUUGUGGAGAGGUAAGUGGAAUUCCGAGUGUAGAGGUGAAAUUCGUAGA
Molecule: ribosomal RNA, 613 nt
Filed under: uncultured soil bacterium
Lineage: Bacteria
Description: bacterial SSU rRNA
Rfam family: Bacterial small subunit ribosomal RNA
Source: RNAcentral